CUCCGGGGCCCCUUCUCCCAACCCUUGUACCAGAGUCCAUCAGAGACCCGGUACGGGCUGUGGGGGACGGGGAGUCGGGG
This 80-nucleotide microRNA precursor is filed under the name Monodelphis domestica (gray short-tailed opossum). RNAcentral's name for it is "mir-150 microRNA precursor family". It matches the Rfam family "mir-150 microRNA precursor family". The record is from Rfam by way of RNAcentral. Lineage: Eukaryota; Metazoa; Chordata; Mammalia; Didelphimorphia; Didelphidae.